AGUGAACGCUGGCGGUAGGCCUAACACAUGCAAGUCGAACGGCAGCACAGUAAGAGCUUGCUCUUACGGGUGGCGAGUGGCGGACGGGUGAGGAAUACAUCGGAAUCUACUUUUUCGUGGGGGAUAACGUAGGGAAACUUACGCUAAUACCGCAUACGACCUACGGGUGAAAGCAGGGGAUCUUCGGACCUUGCGCGAUUGAAUGAGCCGAUGUCGGAUUAGCUAGUUGGCGGGGUAAAGGCCCACCAAGUCGACGAUCCGUAGCUGGUCUGAGAGGAUGAUCGCCCACACUGGAACUGGGACACGGUCCAGACUCCUACGGGAGGCAGCAGUGUCGAAUAUUGGACAAUGGGCGGAAGCCUGAUCCAGCCGUACCGCGUGGGUGAAGAAGGCCUUCGGGUUGUGAAGCCCUUUUGUUGGGAAAGAAAAGCAGCAGGUUAAUACCCCGCUGUUCUGACGGUACCCAAAGAAUAAGCACCGGCUAACUUCGUG
This 492-nucleotide ribosomal RNA is filed under the name uncultured bacterium. Its description in RNAcentral is "partial 16S ribosomal RNA". It matches the Rfam family "Bacterial small subunit ribosomal RNA", at positions 29 to 507 of the family's 1533-position model. The record is from RNAcentral.